This 377-nucleotide ribosomal RNA is filed under the name uncultured organism. Its description in RNAcentral is "partial 16S ribosomal RNA". It matches the Rfam family "Bacterial small subunit ribosomal RNA", at positions 525 to 896 of the family's 1533-position model. The record is from RNAcentral.
GUAGGGGGGGCAAGCGUUGUCCGGAAUCAUUGGGGCGUAAAGCGCGUGUAGGGCGGCUUGGUAAGUCCGGGUGUGAAAACUUGGGGGCUCAACUCCAAGCCUGCAUCGGAAACUGCCUCGCUAGAGUCCGGGAGGGGAGAGCGGAAUUCCUAGUGUAGCGGUGAAAUGCGCAGAUAUUAGGAAGAACACCGGUGGCGAAGGCGGCUCUCUGGAACGGUACUGACGCUAAGACGCGAAAGCGUGGGGAGCAAACAGGAUUAGAUACCCUGGUAGUCCACGCCGUAAACGAUGGGCACUAGAUGUGGGCGGUGUCGACUCCGUCCGUGUCGUAGCUAACGCAUUAAGUGCCCCGCCUGGGGAGUACGGCCGCAAGGCUA